AUCGCUUCUCGGCCUUUUGGCUAAGAUCAAGUGUAGAUUCUGUUCUUAUCAGUCAAAAUAUGCGCCUAUGAGGGCUACUCCUAAUAAAACUACUCUGGCCCCCACAGGCUUAUAGCAGUGCAAAUCUUUGCAUUCAGUCCGACUUUGAAAGUCUCUGUACCCUAUCACAGUUUCAACACUGUUU
This is a small nuclear RNA of Apodemus sylvaticus (European woodmouse), 184 nucleotides long. RefSeq annotates it as U2 spliceosomal RNA. NCBI's taxonomy places the organism in Eukaryota, Metazoa, Chordata, Mammalia, Rodentia, Muridae. The record is from RefSeq and is a predicted model, not a curated record. The transcript has a single exon.